CCUUGUUGCCUUUCUUGGACGUUUCCUCCCUAAACUUGAGCCCCAGCUUCGCGCUGGGGCUUUUUUUAUGUAUUUU
Magnetospirillum sp. 64-120 is the source of this 76-nucleotide non-coding RNA. NCBI's taxonomy places the organism in Bacteria, Pseudomonadati, Pseudomonadota, Alphaproteobacteria, Rhodospirillales, Rhodospirillaceae. The record is from Rfam.